AGACCCGAAACCCGGUGAUCUAGCCAUGGGCAGGUUGAAGGUUGGGUAACACUAACUGGAGGACCGAACCGACUAAUGUUGAAAAAUUAGCGGAUGACCUGUGGCUGGGGGUGAAAGGCCAAUCAAACCGGGAGAUAGCUGGUUCUCCCCGAAAGCUAUUUAGGUAGCGCCUCGUGAAUUCAUCUCCGGGGGUAGAGCACUGUUUCGGCUAGGGGGCCAUCCCGGCUUACCAACCCGAUGCAAACUGCGAAUACCGGAGAAUGUUAUCACGGGAGACACACGGCGGGUGCUAACGUCCGUCGUGAAGAGGGAAACAACCCAGACCGCCAGCUAAGGUCCCAAAGUCAUGGUUAAGUGGGAAACGAUGUGGGAAGGCCCAGACAGCCAGGAUGUUGGCUUAGAAGCAGCCAUCAUUUAAAGAAAGCGUAAUAGCUCACUGGUCGAGUCGGCCUGCGCGGAAGAUGUAACGGGGCUAAACCAUGCACCGAAGCUGCGGCAGCGACACUCAGGUGUUGUUGGGUAGGGGAGCGUUCUGUAAGCCUGCGAAGGUGGCCUGUGAGGGUUGCUGGAGGUAUCAGAAGUGCGAAUGCUGACAUAAGUAACGAUAAAGCGGGUGAAAAGCCCGCUCGCCGGAAGACCAAGGGUUCCUGUCCAACGUUAAUC
This 663-nucleotide ribosomal RNA is filed under the name Salmonella enterica subsp. enterica serovar Infantis. RNAcentral's name for it is "partial 23S ribosomal RNA". It matches the Rfam family "Bacterial large subunit ribosomal RNA", at positions 711 to 1370 of the family's 2925-position model. Lineage: Bacteria; Pseudomonadati; Pseudomonadota; Gammaproteobacteria; Enterobacterales; Enterobacteriaceae. RNAcentral also lists the same sequence under 1 other name. The record is from RNAcentral.